GGGGGCGUUCUUGGAUUCGACGGGGAUAGUUCGAGCAUGGGUUGCGGGUAGUGGGGACGCGUCCGCUUCAUCAACGCUAAAGCCUAUUAAAUGGCAACCAACGUACAACUUUAGCAGCAGCCUAAGAAACUGUAUGCUAAGCUUCUACCUGGCAUCGCCCAUGUGCUAGGAUAGGGGCCCAACCUUAGUGGGAUACGCCAAUUGGUCUCCGCCUGGGGUCAAUCGGAAGAAGACAAUCAGGCUGACCUAGAUCGAAGCCGGUUACGGGGCGUCGGCCUAGGUGACAUCAAAACUGUGACUACACCCGUAGAAGCCUAUGUGCCGUUAUCUUCGGACAGGGGUUCAAAUCCCCUCGCCUCCAA
This 362-nucleotide transfer-messenger RNA is filed under the name Paenibacillus sambharensis. It matches the Rfam family "transfer-messenger RNA". Rfam says of the family: Bacterial tmRNA, also known as 10Sa RNA or SsrA, is named for its dual tRNA and mRNA-like properties. Lineage: Bacteria; Bacillati; Bacillota; Bacilli; Caryophanales; Paenibacillaceae. The record is from Rfam by way of RNAcentral.